This 1829-nucleotide long non-coding RNA is filed under the name Mus musculus (house mouse). RNAcentral's name for it is "long non-coding RNA chr15:62211418-62213247". Lineage: Eukaryota; Metazoa; Chordata; Mammalia; Rodentia; Muridae. The record is from RNAcentral.
UUUUUUUUUUCUUAUCUAUAAAUGUUUCUUCUAUGUGGAAAAUGUGACAGCCAAUAGACUUUCCUUAUCCAUCUAACUGAUAAAGCAGAUGCUGUGAUAUACAUCUUCAAGAUUUUCAGGGUGAUUAGAGGAAUAGCUGACACCCAGAAUUUCUCCAUGAAGGUCUCUGGGGUUCCCAGAGGCAGAUUCAGCAAGCAUCUGAGUUCUAGGAAGUUCCCCAUUCCCUUUUUUGACACUUAAUGCAAAUGGGUAUCUGUUCUACUAGGAGCUAUGAACAUAGAAUGCGGUAGUUACCUUUCUAUUACUGUGAUAAAAUACCAUGACCAAAGCAACGCAGAGGAAAUAGCAUAUAUUGGGGCCUACGGUUCUAGAGGGUGAGAGUCCAUCUGCGGUGGCACAGCAAAGGCAGGGACAGGAUAUGAAGGAUCACAUUUCGAUCUGCAAACACAAUGAGAAGGGGUACGGGGAGCUAGAAAUGACUCAGGUCCCUUUACUCUCAAAGCUUACUAAUGACACACUUCCUUCAAAAGUCCAAACCUCAUAAAUGUCCCCCAAACUGCACCAGGAGACCAAGCAUUCAAAUGCCUCAGGUCAUGGGGACUAUUUCUCAUUCAAACCACCAUAGAUGUUCUGAGCCCUUUCCGGCCCAAUUUCUUGCAGAAUUCCUCAUGUAAUACAACAUAGCCUUUCACUAGCAUAUGCUUCAGUGAUGGUUAUCUUAGAACCCCUUGGCCCCAACCUGCCUGGGACUAAGUAUGGCACUUGUGAACUUGGGCCUGUGGAAGGAUGCUGCACUCUCCCUUCGGGCCCUCUUGAACUCAUUUGUCCCAGUCAGAAGGUUAAGUUUCCUUAAGCCAUCACAUUGCCAGUGAUCUGCCAGCCACUGCUGGUCUAGGAGCUGCUUGAAUGUCAGCUCCUGCCUGGCACACCUGGAAUAGGCACACUUCAGCUGUUGCAAGGCAGAGCCUGUGGCUGGGAUAGCACCUGGAGCCGUUGUGAAGCCUAAUACCUCCCCCCUUGACUCUUCCUGGAUCCAGUGGCAGGUGGCUGGUGGUUGGUGGCUGGCAGCUGGCAGCUGGUGCCUGGUGGCUGGCAGCGUAUACGGGGUUGGCAUACCUGCCAGCUGGGUCUUUGAUCAUGAUGGCGCUGUCCACCCAGCCCAGCACAUUAGAGAACACAAAAGCUUCAAAAAGCCGCACAAAGAACCACCAAGGAAUUGCAGGAAGUAUGUCUGUUGUUUCCUGGCUACAAGUCUGGAGUGUGGGAGGAUCCUUGGCAUGGGUGACUGGUAGCAUGGCAGUUGUGGACACAGCACUGACCUUGAAAUUCAGCAGAGCCUUUGGCCUUUUGGAAGCCUCUGCUGCUCACACUGUACACUGACUUAAGGGCAAGUUACUCAGAGUAAAUUGGUGCAGUUCAAAUACCUAUCAAGUGUGUUUCUUUAAGAACAACAGCAAUAACUAGAAGCAGCAGGUAAUAUUUAUUGAGCAUUUGUUGUGACUUGGAGUCCCAGAGUCCCAAUACCUGGGCUUAACUUAAACCUUUCCAAACACCAGGUUCACCUGUAUUCUGUAAAGACAAGACAGCGGUCAUUUCCUUGUCAUGGUGGCUAUGAACUGUGAAUGAAAAGGUCUCCAAACACUGCCAUGUCUCCCUGACAAGAGAAGAUCCUGUGGUUUAACCCACUGAUAUCCAACACAUCCAACAGUAGCAUGCUCUCUACUGUAUCCCGUUCCUUCCUCUGCAGAACACUUUAUGUUAUAUACAUGGAUCUGUCAAUGUAAGGUUCUGACAUGAGUUGCUAGGAUGAUCAAGUCCUGGUCAGUACC